RNAcentral lists this ribosomal RNA (468 nucleotides) under uncultured bacterium. RNAcentral describes it as "partial 16S ribosomal RNA". It matches the Rfam family "Bacterial small subunit ribosomal RNA", at positions 28 to 507 of the family's 1533-position model. The record is from RNAcentral.
GACGAACGCUGGCGGCGUGCUUAACACAUGCAAGUCGAACGGAAAGGCCCUGCUUUUGUGGGGUGCUCGAGUGGCGAACGGGUGAGUAACACGUGAGUAACCUGCCCUUGACUUUGGGAUAACUUCAGGAAACUGGGGCUAAUACCGGAUAGGAGCUCCUGCUGCAUGGUGGGGGGUGGAAAGUUUCGGCGGUUGGGGAUGGACUCGCGGCUUAUCAGCUUGUCGGUGGGGUAGUGGCUUACCAAGGCUUUGACGGGUAGCCGGCCUGGGAGGGUGACCGGCCACAUUGGGACUGGGGUACGGCCCAGACUGCUACGGGAGGCAGCAGUGGGAAAUAUUGCACAAUGGGCGGAAGCCUGAUACAACGACGCCGCGUGCGGGAUGCCGGCCUUCGGGUUGUAAACCGCUUUCGACUGUGACGAAGCGUGAGUGACGGUAAUGGGUAAAGAAGCACCGGCUAACUACGUG